UCGUUAGCAAGAUGUCUGCGUUUAGACUGUUUUGACGACAUUUUAAUUCAUUUUUAUCACUGAUCUUUGACUCCUGAAGACAGCAGUGGCUGAAUUAUUUAACAAUGCAGCAAGCAACAGGAGAUAACCAAAUUGGCCCACCACAACAGCAAAUAGUCCACCAACAGAUAAUACAACAGCCACAAAUGGUGCCGCAACAACAAAUGUUACAACAACAACAAAUGUUACAACAGCCUCAGCAAAUGUUACAACAGCCUCAACAAAUGUUACAACAGCAACAACAAAUGUUACAACAGCCUCAACAAAUGUUACAACAGCAACAACAAAUGUUACAACAGCCUCAACAAAUGUUACAACAGCAACAACAAAUGGUUCAGCAACAGAUGAUGUAUUGUCCUGUCAGGGUGGUUUACGACUCUCCGGUGUUGAUGCCAUCAGGUGACCAAAUGCAACAACAGAACCAAAACCUAUUCAUCAACCAACCACCGUGGGCGCGGUCCAUCCCCAACCAAGUCAUAUACGUCCAACAAUUUGGCCACAACUUGGUCCCAAUCCAACAAUUUGACCCCAACAUUUACGUCCAACAAAACGUCCCCUACCAACAAAUGCUGCAGAUGCCUCAAAUGGUCCAGAACUUACCGCAAGGGCAAAUACGGCCAGUAAUGAACAAUAUGCCAGCGAACAUGGUACAAAAUGUUGGCCAGGCAAUGCCUGAACAAUCUAUUGGACAAGUAUUACCUAAUUAUGGAUUUAUACAAGCCAAUAACGAUGUUAACAUGCCAAAUCUUAGUGUUGUGAGUAAUGAGUUAGAUAGACAAGUUUUAGUUCCGAAUCAAAUGGGACAAAACACAAGUCAGGACGUGCAAAUGCAGAUGUUUCGCAUGCAACAGCAGAAUGUUAGACCACAAAUGACAGUUAAUGGACAGUUACAAAACAUAGCCAGUGUACAACAAGGCGUCCAACAAAUGGGAUUGAAUGUAGCUAAUAUUAAUCAGAAUAAUGUUGCAAAUGUUAGUCAGAAUACUGGUUCAAAUGCACAGAACGUUGGCGCUGUCAGGCCUGGUGUUACUGAAAAUGUUACGACAAAUGUUAGUGCAAAUAUGGGACCUCAAGUAGCGACAAAUAGAGUCAAUUCCGCUGUAAACACACAAACUACUCCUACAAUUGUUGCACCAACUAGGGUAAAUACAGCUGUAAACACGCAACCAACUCUCACAAAUGUUGGGCCAAACAUCCCCAGUGUACGACCGACAUUACAUCAAAAUACAGCCAAUAACAGCCACAGUGUUCAACAAAAUAUGAGUCAAAAUAUGCAGCCUAUUAGACAAAUGAUGCAGACACAAAAUGUAAACACAAUGCCGAGAAAUAUACAACAGAAUAUUGCAAAUAGUCCAGUUAAUACUGCUACAAAUACCAGCAUGCAAUUUACAGGUGCAAAUAUUAAUAAUAUGAAUACUGUUACGUAUUCGGCUGUUAGAAACGGCCAACCCUAUACCUACAGGGCGAUACAACCGAAACCUAACAGUAAUGUAAGAGUAAACUUUACACCCAGGGGAACACAAGUGCCAAUGAUAAAGAAAUACGUCGUUCCCAUACCUCAUGUAAAUGUCAGUCAAAAUAAUACAGCGCCUAUGAACACUGUACCCACAGCAACAACCAGUAACACAAUAAAAACCGAACCAGAAAACACAACUUUUAACAGGAAAAGAAAAAGCGAGUCACCCGACGAUCAGAAGAAAAUAUCAAAUUUUGGAAGUAUAACUGUUACUGCUCAAGUCAAAGAUAAGAUAAAAGCAAAAUGUGCUGUAAAUACUAGUGAAAUUGGAACAAACACAAGUCCUGUACAUAGAGCGAAGCAUAAGAAAGUAGAAAACCAACCACUUCUGCAAAUAAAUCCUAUGGAAACAAAAAUUAAGAUGGAAGUUGGCACUGUAACGGACGCCAUACCUAAACCUACUGCCAUACCUAUAAAAGACUCUCCUACACCAAUGAAAAUCGAUGCUCAAGUUGACAUUAAAGAUGUAAGUCAACAGACUGAAGAAAAAACCGUAAGAAAAACUGUGUUUCCUCAAGCUAGAGGCAGAUUACUUGAAGACAAAGUCAAUGUUACCAUGGCCAAUGCCGAAACUGAUAAAAUGAAUGUUGAUAUGAAGAGUGAAAGAACACAACUACUGCCACACCCUGAUGUAGUAAAUAAACCUAUAGUAGAAAAUAAUAUAAAAAUCGAAGAAACAAAACCAACCAAUGAUAUUAAGUUACCGAAGCAAGAAGUUGCUAAGAAAAUGGAAAUCGUUUUAGAUGUAAAGAACGAAGAAAUUAGGAAAAAGCCAGAAAUGACAAAGAAAGAGAAAGUCACUAAGAAAGAAAUUAUCACUAAGAAGGAAGAAAUAAAAGUCAGUGAUGAACAAGAGCUUAAUACUAAUAACAUACUAUUUAAUAUACUAACUAAUAGUCCAAUUAAGAAAGCUUCUGAAGAUAUUGACCAAAAUAUCAAAUCAGAUGCAGAAAGCAAAGCGAAAGUCAAUUUAGAAACAAAAUUAAACAACAAAGUUACUAAACCUAGUCCCUCUGUAAGUAAAAAUGAAGAAUUGAAGAAAGAAACAGACACAAUACCGCCUACAUUAAGUAUAAAGAACGACAAUGAAAAACCUAGCAAUUCUAAAUCAAAAGACGAACAUCGUAAACCAGUUACAAAACUCUCAACAGAUUAUGAAGCUGUCAUUAAAGAUAACAAAAUAGAAAAGAAAGAAUAUACAAAUAUAUCUAUAGGUGAAAUGACAGGGUCGGAAAUACAUAUCGUAGAUGGAAAUAUUCAUAAGGAAGAACGCGAUUUCGUUUUGACACACGUGCUUGACGGAUACGUCAUACAAGAAUCUAACGUUCCUUUUGCUAUAAGAAAACCACUACGAGAGAAAACUAUAAACACAGUCAUGGACGACAAACAGGACCACAUAAUGAAGAACAGUCUAACAAAAGACGAAAUAAGAGAUAAGAUUCUGGAACUUUCCCAACUGCAUUUAGAAGAAAAUAGACAAACAGAAGUAGUAGAAGAAGAAGUGGUAGAAGAAGUAGAAAAAGAAGAUGAGAGACUGAAUGAGAAAGAGGAUAAGACUGAGUCUAGUGACGGAGAAUUGCAGAUAGAUGAAGAUAGGGAUGUUAGGGAUGAAUCUGAUGAAGAAAAUAAAGAGAGCCCUUUCCAACGCUUGCAACAGAGCGACGUUAAAUCCUGGACGGUGGAGGUGUUAGCGUCUCAUUUAAACAAGUACAAAUGGACAGAAACAGUGGCCAUAUUUCAAGAGCACGAAAUCGAUGGAGAGUCCUUAUUUUUAGUGACGCGUCCUCAACUAGUUUGUAUUGGAGUGAGCGAAACACACGCCGACAUCAUAUGUGAAUUCGUUCAAAGUAAGACUUAAGUCAUAACGAAUUAAAAUUUAAAAAAAAAACCCCGACCAGAAUAAAACUACGCUAACAGCAGACAAGCUCAGUGGUUCUAGAAGACAUUAGUGUUUCAAAUGUCAGAUCCCACAUAAUUAUGCUUGCAAGCAAACUGAGCGUGUAACAUUCCUAUCACACCUAACAAACGACCUUGAAGACCUGAACCGAUUUCCACCAAACAUAGCUAAGAACACUCUCAACUGAUAUACCUUUCAAACAAAAAAAGCCGCAUUAAAAUCGGAUCAUCCGUUUGAGAGCUACGAUGCCACAGACAGACACAGAUUUACACAGACACGUCAAACUUAUAACACCCCGUCGUUUUUGCGUCGGUGGUUAAAAUUGACAAAAUCUGUGUUCACACUGUUCAGAUUAUCGUCACUCUGGUCCUGUAAAACCCGAGGAGCGCCGUUUAAAAUCCCACCGGACUUGCACCAAUGAGUUAUUAAUUUAUCUCAAGUGCAGUUUUCAGUAACACAGUUGGCUCGACCAUUAUAGACGGCGAUACGGCUCACCUAUCACGUUGGUUUGUAUCAUGAUGCUGUGGAACUAUUAAUAACCUACUUUCCGUCCGGUUCUCACCUGACCGGUUGUAUGGAGAAAGGAGCGCGCUGAUUCUCCAUCUCGCUCGCACAUACGGCGGUACGGUACGCGGUAAGAAUGAGAAUUUUGUAAGGAUUUUAAAAAUACCUACUUGAUGUGUUCCGAAAAUACAAUGCUACACGAAGACUAAAGAUUUUUUAAGGCAUUUUCUAAGAUCUACGUGUUCAAUUUAUCAUUAAUAAGUUAGUCAUUUGUCCGGCCAAGUAGUGAAUGCUAGCCGAGACAAAAGGAUGAUGCCAUAAACUCUAAUUGCGAUCCAUUUUAAGAUGUUAACUUAUGCGAUUUGUGUAUUUCUUUUGAACAGAGCGAUUCAAAUUGAUGGCUGACAUCCUUAUUCAGGAUGUUAACUCCAACCUUCCUCCACUGGACUCGGCCUUACCUGAGCAUUUUGGUAUUUUAAGUUGACAUUUACGCCCUCGACUUGAGGACUUUCCUCACUGGAGUCGAGCACGUCAUACUGCCAACAUAAUAAUACGAAAAUAAUCUUCUUAUCGUGUGGGUUGUGAGGUGGAAUACCAACCCCAUCAACCUUGGUGUCAGGGUUAUUAUUGAGCCGCCAAAGGCCCCUGACAUGGCUCAUGUAACGACUACAUACUUACAUCAGUGAGUAGUAACCGGGAGCAACGGCUUAACGUGCCUUCCGAAGCACGGAUCGUCUUCCUUUCGGACAAUCGGGUGAUCAGCCUGUAAUGUCCUAACCAAACUAGGGAUCACAAAGUGAUUUUUGUGAUAUGUCCCCAACGGGAUUCGAACCCGGGGCCUCCGG
This 4801-nucleotide unclassified non-coding RNA is filed under the name Pectinophora gossypiella (pink bollworm). RNAcentral describes it as "putative mediator of RNA polymerase II transcription subunit 26". The record is from RNAcentral. Lineage: Eukaryota; Metazoa; Arthropoda; Insecta; Lepidoptera; Gelechiidae.